UACGUAGGGCGCAAGCGUUGUCCGGAAUUAUUGGGCGUAAAGAGCUCGUAGGCGGCUUGUCACGUCGGGUGUGAAAGCCCGGGGCUUAACCCCGGGUCUGCAUUCGAUACGGGCUAGCUAGAGUGUGGUAGAGGCAAGCGGAAUUCCGGGUGUAGCGGUGGAAUGCGUAGAGAUCCGGAAGAACACCGGAGGCGCAGGCGGCUUGCUGGACCUGGUCUGACGCUGAGGCGCGAAAGCGUGGGGAGCGAACAGG
RNAcentral lists this ribosomal RNA (253 nucleotides) under uncultured bacterium. Its description in RNAcentral is "partial 16S ribosomal RNA". It matches the Rfam family "Bacterial small subunit ribosomal RNA", at positions 524 to 776 of the family's 1533-position model. The record is from RNAcentral.